This 30-nucleotide non-coding RNA is filed under the name Mus musculus (house mouse). Lineage: Eukaryota; Metazoa; Chordata; Mammalia; Rodentia; Muridae. The record is from RNAcentral.
UCAGAUCUCUGUCUUUGGUCUCUUAAGGUA